This 342-nucleotide ribosomal RNA is filed under the name Triticum aestivum (bread wheat). RNAcentral's name for it is "partial small subunit ribosomal RNA". The record is from RNAcentral. Lineage: Eukaryota; Viridiplantae; Streptophyta; Magnoliopsida; Poales; Poaceae.
AUGGAGCCUGCAGCCGCAGGGACCCGGAAGCCGCUGCCGCAACCACCGGCCGCACUCGCAAGGGACAGGGCGGGCGCCGUCGCCGCAGCAGCCGCGACGCGGCCGGCGCCGGCGUGGGCGUCGACGUCGCUCCUCGCCGCUGGCCUGGUCGCGGUGGGCCUCGGAGGCGUCGCGCUGCUGGUGUGGUGGGCGGUCGCGUUCCACCGCGCGAACGCUAGGCUGUGGAUGGUACCCGCAGGGCUCGUCCUCCUCGGAACCCCGCUCGUCGCCUGGCUCUCCGUCUUCGCCUCCGGCCCGUGCGACCGCUCCAGGGCGCCGCCGCCGGCCGCCUUAGGAGCUUAA